GGUUUUAAUUUGCUUUAGGAUUUGUUAAGAAUUUGUUUAAGAUUUAGAGUUUGACCAGGAUUUUCUUAGGAUUUGAUUUAAGAUUUGUGUAGGAUUUAGGAUUUCAUUAGGAUUUCAAUGAAGAUUUGAUUUAGGAUUUGAUUAAGGUUUAAUUAGGGUUUUAAUUAGAAUUUGAUCUAGGAUUUGAUUUAAGAUUUGUUUAAGGUUCAAUUAGGAUUU
This 219-nucleotide long non-coding RNA is filed under the name Physcomitrium patens. RNAcentral's name for it is "long non-coding RNA (PPAT_LNC004677)". Lineage: Eukaryota; Viridiplantae; Streptophyta; Bryopsida; Funariales; Funariaceae. The record is from RNAcentral.